CUACGGGUGGCACCAGUGAGGAAUAUUGCACAAUGGGGGGAACCCUGAUGCAGCAACGCCGCGUGGAGGAUGACGCAUUUCGGUGUGUAAACUCCUUUUAUAUGUCAAGAAAAUGACGGUAGCAUAUGAAUAAGCACCGGCUAACUCCGUGCCAGCAGCCGCGGUAAUACGGAGGGUGCAAGCGUUACUCGGAAUCACCGGGCGUAAAGGACGCGUAGGCGGGUUGGAAAGUCAGGUGUGAAAUCCUACAGCUUAACUGUAGAACUGCACUUGAAACUUCUAAUCUAGAGUAUGGGAGGGGGAGAUGGAAUUAGUGGUGUAGGGGUGAAAUCCGUAGAUAUCACUAGGAAUACCUAAAGCGAAGGCGAUCUCCUGGAACAUUACUGACGCUAAGGCGUGAAAGCGUGGGGAGCAAACAGGAUUAGAUACCCCGGUAGUC
Molecule: ribosomal RNA, 439 nt
Filed under: uncultured bacterium
Lineage: Bacteria
Description: partial 16S ribosomal RNA
Rfam family: Bacterial small subunit ribosomal RNA
Source: RNAcentral